CAAACUACCAGCUAAAGGAGGUAUAAAUUUACGUUAAUUUAUAGGCAACUAAUUCAGAUUUAGUACUGAGUUUUAAUGAGAAAUUAGUACUAAAUUUCCAUGAAACCUGUACUAAAUCUUUUGGAGGCAAGUGUUAUAAUACACACUUGAAUUUUUAAAAAGUUUUAUAUUUUUUGCCAAAUAAGUCAUUAGUACCAAUAAAAAAGAUUUCUUAAAUCAGAAAUUGUAGGGAAUUCUGGGGAAAUGGAUGGUUUAACAUUGAAAUUCACUUAUGAGAGAUCUUCAAAACUGAAUAUAGCUAUAUGAGAUUAGUAAAGCCCUAUGGAUGAGAUGUUUAUGUAAAGAGUUUUUAGUAUUUUAUGUAGCUGAACUCUUUUAUCCCCACUUUAAUAAAGUCUUUUGCCAAUUAUUGGAGCAUCUAUAAAUACUAACAGAAUAUAAACACAUUCUUAAAAUUUUAAAUGGCACGUACACACAAUUUUCUCUUUCAAGGCAUUUGGACUUCUAAGUCUAUGACGUGUUCUUGGCUGGUAUACAUACCUUCCUGAAAAUAUGAGCAAUUUCUGUAGCAAAGUG
Molecule: long non-coding RNA, 576 nt
Filed under: Bos taurus (domestic cattle)
Lineage: Eukaryota; Metazoa; Chordata; Mammalia; Artiodactyla; Bovidae
Description: long non-coding RNA NONBTAT016493
Source: RNAcentral